This is a long non-coding RNA of Suricata suricatta (meerkat), 2183 nucleotides long. RefSeq lists it as uncharacterized. The transcript has 6 exons. Lineage: Eukaryota; Metazoa; Chordata; Mammalia; Carnivora; Herpestidae. The record is from RefSeq and is a predicted model, not a curated record.
CAGUAUCAUGCUUCAAAAAAAAGAUUUCAUUUAUUUUUUUUUUAGGUAAUCUCUACACCCAACGUGGGGCUCGAACUCACAGCCCUGAGGAUAAGAGUCGCGUGUUCUACUGACUAAGCCAGCCAGACUCCCCAACAGUAUCAUGCUUUUCCUAAGCAGUAUCAGCACUUUUCCUAAGAGGGUGGCAGGGUGGAGGGACAGGUAUCUUAAAUACACUACCUAAGGUCACCAAUUUCUGUCUGAUUAAAAAGACAGAGAUGCCCCCUUCCCUCUUUAUACAUUGGAGAACAUCUUCUAUCUCCUCCCCCUCCCCCAGCUCACGCCUUCUCCCCUCUCUCUCCCUGGCACCGGAAGCUGGUCUGUGGCUUUGGCAAAAGUUAAAUACAGAGAAUCAGUGAGAAGGAAGAGAGAUUAGCCUCCCUCAGGAGAAGGGGUCCCCAUCUUACCUCACAGGUUGGCCAGGGCCUGGACUUGUGUAUGAUAAGCAAGAGCCUGCCUGGACCCACAGGGCCUCAGGGAGGCAGAGAUGCAGCAAGAGGGGGACUGCAGCAGAGGCGGAUCUGACCCCGGUCGGAGCAUAAGGCCCGCCCCAGGAGGUAGGGACGGCUCCUCAUCAGCCUCAACCUCCUGCGCGGGUUCACAGAAGAAACCAAAGCAGAACUUCCAAGGGACAGGUGCCAGCGGAACUGCCUUGCCAGCCUCAGACCCUUCGCCUCAGCUCGCACCUGCCUUGAGCACUCGGGCUUCGGCCUCUGGGAAGGCUCCUUUCCCAAGAACAGCAGCAGCAGCCAUAACAAUAUUACUGACUAUUCACCCAGUGCUUACUGUGUUCCAGACCCUGUGCCAAGCACCUUCCGUGAUUAUCAGAUUUCCUCUAACAACCUCAGAAGAUAGGGGCCAUUUUCAUCUUCAUUGGAUGUUUGCAAAGUUGCCCAGCAUAUGAGGGAGGGGUGGAGGCGAGAUUGUGAAGCCAGAGCCCAGCACCCAAAACGCCUCCGGGCGUGCCUCUCUCAUUUGAUAGGAGCAGGUCCCACCUGCUCCUUGGGCCCAGGCAGUAUAUUCACACGUGCAGAACUGACAGGAUCGUGAAACCCUGUCCCACAUCCAGGGCUCCAUAGAGCACUCAUUCAUUUAUCAUGUUGACAAAUAUCUAUUGAGCACCUGCUAUGUGCCAGAUCCUGCACUAGGCGCCAAGGAUGUACCGGUGAACAAAAACAGACCCAAUCUCCGCUCUCACCAAGCAUAUAUUUUAGCGGAAAAAAAUCAAACAAAUACGUAUCCAAUUACAAAUUGUGAUACAUGAAAGAAGGAAAACCACAGCUGGCCUUGAGGGAGAACAAUAUGGAAGGACAUGAUUGAGACAGGGGAGGAGGCCUUUCAGAGAUAAAUAACAUUUAUGCCCUAACAUAAUCCAUCAGUAGCCAGUUGAUUAAUCCAGGACUUAUCGGUGGUCACUUCCACCUGCUGUGAUUUGCGAAGUAAAUCCCUGGGUUUUCCUCUCCAUCAAGAAAAGGGCUGCAGCCCACGGCCAUUUUGCCAUUUGAUAAGAAAAGAGCCCUUGAGUUUCCAGAUCUUGGUGACCUCAGAAGAAAAGGUGAAGGAGCUAGUCUGUGGAGAAGGAAGUUUGGUUUUGAUUUACAAGUCUCCAGAGAAGGGAAGUUCCUUUACCUCAGCUUUUGUUGGAGCGGCCAGUUGUCACUUCCUGGAGCUGCUGCUGGUCCCUGAGAAGACGCCCCACAGAGCUCCCUCUGGCCAGAGAACACCAGGAUCCAGGACACAGAAGGACCUCACUGUUCCAGAGGGCGCAGCGGGGAAAACGUCAAACCCAUCCAUUUACCUGAAGGAAAUAAAAAUGGAUGUCGACACAAAGACUUGCAUGUGAAUUGUCAAAACAGCUCUAUUCAUAGCCCCAAACUGGAAAUGGCCCAGGUGUCCAUCAACAGGCCAACAGAUACACCAUGGAAUAUUCAUACUCAAUAUUAAAGAAGUAAUGAAGAAACAAAUACUGGAGCCACAGAAACUAGCAUUCAGGCCAAGACCAAAGCAUAUGUCUGCGGAUGUACCCUCUCCUAGGCUGCGGAUGCACCCUCUCCUAGGCUGCGGAUGCCAGGGCAUGAUGGGGAUUCCUGGAGGUCGUGGUGAACUCCAGAUAAGAAAACUGAUAAGAAGAGAGGUUGAGUAAC